GUCAGUUCCUCCAGCCUGGCCCGGGAGGGGUCCGCCUACCGGGCCAGCUGGAAGGAGAC
Molecule: microRNA precursor, 59 nt
Organism: Bison bison bison
Lineage: Eukaryota; Metazoa; Chordata; Mammalia; Artiodactyla; Bovidae
Source: Ensembl